Molecule: ribosomal RNA, 367 nt
Filed under: uncultured bacterium
Lineage: Bacteria
Description: bacterial SSU rRNA
Rfam family: Bacterial small subunit ribosomal RNA
Source: RNAcentral
ACGGAGGAUCCAAGCGUUAUCCGGAAUCAUUGGGUUUAAAGGGUCCGUAGGCGGUCUUAUAAGUCAGUGGUGAAAUCCCAUCGCUCAACGAUGGAACUGCCAUUGAUACUGUAAGACUUGAAUACUUAGGAAGUAACUAGAAUAUGUAGUGUAGCGGUGAAAUGCUUAGAUAUUACAUGGAAUACCAAUUGCGAAGGCAGGUUACUACUAAGUGAUUGACGCUGAUGGACGAAAGCGUGGGGAGCGAACAGGAUUAGAUACCCUGGUAGUCCACGCCGUAAACGAUGGAUACUAGCUGUUCGGAGCAAUCUGAGUGGCUAAGCGAAAGUGAUAAGUAUCCCACCUGGGGAGUACGCACGCAAGUGUG